UGGUGCAGGAGGAGCUGAGAGUUCUACAUCUUCAUCUGAAAGCUUUUAGCAGAAUACUGGAUUCCAGGCAGCCAGGGGCAAGUGCAUCGCUGAUGAUGGGCAGCUGUUGUGAUGGUGGCUGGGCAUAAUUACCAGAAAACCAAGAGGUCUGCUCCACUUUGCUUAUUAAAGUUAAUCAGCCACUGCAGAGGCUGUCGACUCCUAAUGAUUUUCGUUAAAUUUGGAAAAAAGUUGAACUGCAGAUUAAUUUCAGCAUCCUUCCUCCAGAUACUUCUCAUUGAAAAGAUUCCUGAUUUUGAAGAGGACGUGUGCAUCACAGAAGAUUUAAAAACAUGGGGAUACAAAAUUCUUUCUCUGCAGGCCUGUGAAGGAUGCAGAGACCCCUGAAGCUGGUACCCAACAUGGGGCUACUUCUCAUCCCUUGUGAAGUCCAAAUCCUCAUGUUUUAAAGGGAUGCAGGGACCAAUCAAGGUGCGAAGGGAGUAUUUUCUGAAGCCUCUUUUCAGAACUGUGGCUGUCACUCCAUUCAUAAGAUGACUUUGUACAACAUUGGUCCUGAUAGAAGCAGAGGGACUUCAAUAGCAAUAACAUGCAACUCCCGAGACAGGCAGUGUCUCACAUAGCUCAUACUGGCCUCAAGUUUGCUACAUACCAAGUAUGAUCUUGAACUCAUAAUUCUCCUGCCUCCACACCGCAACUGCUAAGAUUACAAGCAAAUACCACUAUACCUGGCUUCCCUCUUAGGAAACACGAAGGACUUUGCAAGGAUGAUAUUUCCUUCCCUUUAAUAUUUAUCCAUUCCCUUGGUAACGAAUUAUCCUGAAGCUGAUCUAUCAUUAUGGAACCAGAGGAAGCAAAGAAGUCUAAAACAACACUCAAGGAACCAAUGGGAAAUUCUCUACAAGCAGGACUAAGAAGAC
Mus musculus (house mouse) is the source of this 920-nucleotide long non-coding RNA. RefSeq annotates it as predicted gene, 51669. The transcript has 8 exons. NCBI's taxonomy places the organism in Eukaryota, Metazoa, Chordata, Mammalia, Rodentia, Muridae. The record is from RefSeq and is a predicted model, not a curated record.